Bactrocera oleae (olive fruit fly) is the source of this 728-nucleotide non-coding RNA. The record is from RefSeq and is a predicted model, not a curated record. NCBI's taxonomy places the organism in Eukaryota, Metazoa, Arthropoda, Insecta, Diptera, Tephritidae.
UCAAAACGUUGAAUUGUGUAAACCUUCAAAAUUUACAAAAUGUUCAAGCAACAAAUAUUUUUUUCUUCUAUAGCUUUCAAUAACAAUUUGAAAUUGUAUUAGUGUUACAAACUAACGGUUUAAAACUCUGUUCACAUUUGGCAGAGUCGUGGGAGCGGAGGCUAACAAGAUUCGCACAUUUUCUCAGUCAAAUGAGACAACAUUACUCCGCGAUAUUUUGGAACAAAAGAAAUUGAAAAAAAAGUUUUUUGCAUCUUUAAUGUCUUCGAACGACAAUGCAAAAUAUUUCUCAAAACACAUGCGAAGCAGUCAUUGCACACUGAACUGCUACGCAAGUACAACACGUAUCAGCCCUUCUUUAUCAACAAAACUUUCGAUGUUUGCGAGUUUUUGAAAACACGGAAAAAUGCUGUAUAUUUCGACAUAUUAUUUAAACUGAUAGAGAAAUACACUAAUGCCAACCACACGUGUCCUUAUGAGGGGGAGUUCAUAGUCGAGCGCUUCAGUCCGUUUCAUAACAAUUUCAUUCUGCCGCUUCCCACCGGUGACUACCUCAUUAAAUUUGGCUUUUAUAACUCAAACGCGCUGAUUUUCCAGUUGUUUGUGUGGUUUGGCUUUAAAGAACUGGAAAACUGGGAAAAUCGCCACAAAUUCUAAUGGUUUCCAAAAACCCUGCAUGCACCAUAAGAGUUUUGUUUGGCUACCUUUGCCGGAAAUGUAUUAAAAAA